Molecule: ribosomal RNA, 796 nt
Filed under: uncultured Alphaproteobacteria bacterium
Lineage: Bacteria; Pseudomonadati; Pseudomonadota; Alphaproteobacteria
Description: bacterial SSU rRNA
Rfam family: Bacterial small subunit ribosomal RNA
Source: RNAcentral
UAGCAAUACUUAGUGGCAGACGGGUGAGUAACAUGUAGGUAUCUGCCCUUUGGCCUGGAAUAACACGAGGAAACUUGUGCUAAUACCGGAUAAGUCUUUACGGAGAAAGCUUUAUGCACCAUUGGAUGAGCCUGCACUUGAUUAGUUUGUUGGUGGGGUAAUGGCCUACCAAGACUGUGAUCAAUAGCUGAUUUGAGAGGAUGAUCAGCCACAUUGGGACUGAGACACGGCCCAAACUCCUACGGGAGGCAGCAGUGGGGAAUCUUGCACAAUGGAGGAAACUCUGAUGCAGCGAUGCCGCGUGAGUGAAGAAGGCCCUUGGGUUGUAAAGCUCUUUCGUCGGGGAAGAAAAUGACUGUACCCGAAUAAGAAGGUCCGGCUAACUUCGUGCCAGCAGCCGCGGUAAUACGAAGGGACCUAGCGUAGUUCGGAAUUACUGGGCUUAAAGAGUUCGUAGGUGGUUGAAAAAGUUAGUGGUGAAAUCCCAGAGCUUAACUCUGGAACUGCCAUUAAAACUUUUCAGCUAGAGUAUGAUAGAGGAAAGCAGAAUUUCUAGUGUAGAGGUGAAAUUCGUAGAUAUUAGAAAGAAUACCAAUUGCGAAGGCAGCUUUCUGGAUCAUUACUGACACUGAGGAACGAAAGCAUGGGUAGCGAAGAGGAUUAGAUACCCUCGUAGUCCAUGCCGUAAACGAUGUGUGUUAGACGUUGGAAAUUUAUUUUCAGUGUCGCAGGGAAACCGAUAAACACACCGCCUGGGGAGUACGACCGCAAGGUUAAAACUCAAAGGAAUUGACGG